This 465-nucleotide ribosomal RNA is filed under the name Vreelandella stevensii. RNAcentral's name for it is "partial 16S ribosomal RNA". It matches the Rfam family "Bacterial small subunit ribosomal RNA", at positions 338 to 795 of the family's 1533-position model. Lineage: Bacteria; Pseudomonadati; Pseudomonadota; Gammaproteobacteria; Oceanospirillales; Halomonadaceae. The record is from RNAcentral.
CCUACGGGUGGCAGCAGUGGGGAAUAUUGGACAAUGGGGGGAACCCUGAUCCAGCCAUGCCGCGUGUGUGAAGAAGGCCCUCGGGUUGUAAAGCACUUUCAGUGAGGAAGAACGCCUGGUGGUUAAUACCCAUCAGUAAAGACAUCACUCACAGAAGAAGCACCGGCUAACUCCGUGCCAGCAGCCGCGGUAAUACGGAGGGUGCGAGCGUUAAUCGGAAUUACUGGGCGUAAAGCGCGCGUAGGUGGCUUGAUAAGCCGGUUGUGAAAGCCCCGGGCUCAACCUGGGAACGGCAUCCGGAACUGUCAAGCUAGAGUGCAGGAGAGGAAGGUAGAAUUCCCGGUGUAGCGGUGAAAUGCGUAGAGAUCGGGAGGAAUACCAGUGGCGAAGGCGGCCUUCUGGACUGACACUGACACUGAGGUGCGAAAGCGUGGGUAGCAAACAGGAUUAGAUACCCCAGUAGUC